GACGAACGCUGGCGGCGUGCCUAAUACAUGCAAGUAGAACGCUGAAGGAGGAGCUUGCUUCUCUGGAUGAGUUGCGAACGGGUGAGUAACGCGUAGGUAACCUGCCUGGUAGCGGGGGAUAACUAUUGGAAACGAUAGCUAAUACCGCAUAAUAGUAGAUGUUGCAUGACAUUUGCUUAAAAGGUGCAAUUGCAUCACUACCAGAUGGACCUGCGUUGUAUUAGCUAGUUGGUGGGGUAACGGCUCACCAAGGCGACGAUACAUAGCCGACCUGAGAGGGGGGUCGGCCACACUGGGACUGAGACACGGCCCAGACGCCUACGGGAGGCAGCAGUAGGGAAUCUUAGGCAAUAGACGGAAGUCUGACCGAGCAACGCCGCGUGAGUGAAGAAGGUUUUCGGAUCGUAAAGAUCUGUUGUAAGAGAAGAACGAGUGUGAGAGUGGAAAGUUCACACUGUGACGGUAUCUUACCAGAAAGGGACGGCUAACUACGUG
RNAcentral lists this ribosomal RNA (495 nucleotides) under uncultured bacterium. RNAcentral's name for it is "partial 16S ribosomal RNA". It matches the Rfam family "Bacterial small subunit ribosomal RNA", at positions 28 to 507 of the family's 1533-position model. The record is from RNAcentral.